UACGUAGGGGGCAAGCGUUGUCCGGAUUUACUGGGCGUAAAGAGCGCGUAGGCGGAAGCUUAAGCGGUGCCUGAAAGCCCCCGGCUCAACCGGGAGGGUGGUGCCGAACUGGGCUCUUGAGGGCGAUAGAGGAGGGUGGAAUUCCGGGUGUAGCGGUGAAAUGCGUAGAGAUCCGGAGGAACACCAGUGGCGCAGGCGGCUUCCUGGUCCAGCACCGACGUUCAGGCACGAAAGCGUGGGGAGCAAACAGG
RNAcentral lists this ribosomal RNA (251 nucleotides) under uncultured bacterium. RNAcentral describes it as "partial 16S ribosomal RNA". It matches the Rfam family "Bacterial small subunit ribosomal RNA", at positions 524 to 776 of the family's 1533-position model. The record is from RNAcentral.